Molecule: ribosomal RNA, 254 nt
Filed under: uncultured bacterium
Lineage: Bacteria
Description: partial 16S ribosomal RNA
Rfam family: Bacterial small subunit ribosomal RNA
Source: RNAcentral
GUCCACGCCGUAAACGAUGGAUACUAGCUGUUGGGAGCAAUCUCAGUGGCUAAGCGAAAGUGAUAAGUAUCCCACCUGGGGAGUACGAACGCAAGUUUGAAACUCAAAGGAAUUGACGGGGCCCGCACAAGCGGUGGAGCAUGUGGUUUAAUUCGAUGAUACGCGAGGAACCUUACCAAGGCUUAAAUGUAGAUUGACCGGUUUGGAAACAGAUCUUUCGCAAGACAAUUUACAAGGUGCUGCAUGGUUGUCGU